UUCAAGUGGGUUGAGACAGAAAACUUUUUCACUAGCGUUUAUAAACUCUAGUGGCAGCUUUGCGUGCUUAUCACGUGGUUGGAGGCGAACACUAGGAAGUACUAACGGAGAGAGCUUGUGCCAGAAGAAGAUUGUUAAGGGCAUUUAGGUGCUACUUUAAUGAAGAAGAGCGAAAAGUUAAAAGACAGCAGGAAAUGAUGCUUAUCUGAUUGGACUUAACCAUUCCUACGGCUGGCUUGAGGGCUGAAACGAGAGGAAAUGAUUAGAUCUUGAGGAAAUCUGCAACUCAAAAUUGUGUGGUUCCUUUUAUUUUGGAUUAUACAGUAAUUUUCAAGCUGACUUGGGGGAAAUACGCAUGUGAUUGGGUGAAGGAUUGUCGACGUCAUCUUACCAGGCAGUAUUAGAGUUACUGAAAUGCGUGUCUAAUACUGUCAGGUAAAGAUGUCUACGAUGUCCUCAAGCGACUCUACAUCCGAAGAAAAGAACUGAACUUCACGGAAUUAUAUUCAUUGCAGGAGAUGCAACGUCAACAGUAACAACUUAGUGGAGGAAAACUCUUAUUUGAUUAAAGUGCUAAUCUUAACGAUGACAGUGGCAUCAAGAACAAAGAGCAGCCAGUGUUUUGUGUAAGAUUGCUGCCGAAGAUGGGAUUCUGCACAAAGAAAGGACUGAUGUUCUUAGACACCUCAGAAAACAAAAUACUGUGUUGUGUAGUUCUACUAAUUUUCAGUUGCUUUCCAGCCUUCUCUCUAUAUAACUGGAUUCGGAGAAAGCAUUUGUGCAUUCUGGAAGUUUUUGAAUGUAAACUGAAACCUUACAGUCAAACAAGAAUGAAAUGCCAAGUAAAACUAGUGCAUGAAAAAUGACAUUUAUCGACGCAGAUUUUAUUUAGCAAAAGCGCUUAUAGCGACUAUACACUAUCCGUUUCUUCAGCUGCAAAAAGCGGUAGUGUUCAAGUGCUUUCCCUAAAAUAAAAUCUACAUCAAUUAGCGUCCUUUUUCGCGUAUUCAAAAAAUUUUAGGCUGUUUUGCAAUAAGGUAACUUUAUUUGGUAAAAAAAAUAUGCUCAUUUUUUGAAAUGUCCAACCACAAACCACUUUCCUUUUCGGCCAAAUUACUAGUUGGACUUCUAUGCUUUUUAUUUUGUAAAGCCAUUCAAUGAUUGGCCAUAUCGGAACAUACUGUUAUCCAUGAGUGGCACUGCUUCAAAUCAGAAAUAGCAUGUGAAAUAAAAUCUCAUGACAGCAACUCAAGUUUUAUGGAAUGCGAUGUAGUGCCGCCUAGGAUAUAUUACUUUUGCUUAUAGGCGACUAACUCGAAAGCUGUUAAAUCUUUCUCUUUAUCUAAAGAGUUUUCUUCUUUAUGGUUUAUAUGAUGACUGACUGUCAUACACAGAACUGAUACUUUUUAAAAACUGCUGAAUUUUAAAAUUAGGAUGUUUAGGAAAAGGUGUCCGCC
Long non-coding RNA from Stegodyphus dumicola, 1457 nucleotides. RefSeq lists it as uncharacterized. NCBI's taxonomy places the organism in Eukaryota, Metazoa, Arthropoda, Arachnida, Araneae, Eresidae. The record is from RefSeq and is a predicted model, not a curated record.